RNAcentral lists this unclassified non-coding RNA (686 nucleotides) under Holboellia angustifolia. Its description in RNAcentral is "partial contains small subunit ribosomal RNA, internal transcribed spacer 1, 5.8S ribosomal RNA, internal transcribed spacer 2, and large subunit ribosomal RNA". The stretch from base 282 to 437 matches the Rfam family "5.8S ribosomal RNA". The record is from RNAcentral. Lineage: Eukaryota; Viridiplantae; Streptophyta; Magnoliopsida; Ranunculales; Lardizabalaceae.
UUAUCAUUAGAGGAAGGAGAAGUCGUAACAAGCUUUCCGUAAGUGAACCUACGGAAGGAUCAUUGUCAAAAUCUGCCCCUCCUGUCGUACCGUGAGCCCUGCUCGGAUCGUCGGUGCAGACCCUGUCCCCACCGCGACCCCCCGCCAUCCUCACUGUCCUGAAUUAACAAUGUAUCCCCGACGCAAUCAGUGUUAAGGAAAUUUCACAAGACGCGCGUCUCCGUGGCCAGCCCGAUGUUGCGGUGCAUCCACGAACUGCAUCACGAUCCUGAUAUUUGAACGACUCUCGACAACGAAUAUCUCGACUCUCGCAUCAAUGAAGAACGUAGUGAAAUGAGAUACUUGGUGUGAAUUGUAGAAUCUCGUGAACCAUCAAGUUUUUGAACGCAAGUUGCGCCCUAGGCCGUUAGGUCGAGGGCACGUCUGCUUGGACGUCAAGCAUCGCGUCACCCCGACUCCGUCGUCUCACCGUGAGAUCCCCCGAAGUAGUGUGGGUGGAGAUUGGCCCAUCGUGCGUCGAGCGCGGUCGGUGUCACGAUCAGUGGUGGUUGACGUGCCUCUUUCCGAAGAUGGAUGUCGUGCCCGCCGCAUCAUCGAACAGGCCAUCUGGACCUUGUUGGUCCUCACGGAGCACUCAUCCUGCGACCCCAGGUCAGGUGAGGCCACCCACUGAGUUUAAGCAUAUC